GUCUCAAAUUGGAGGGCGGGUGCUUUGGGAGCACUAGGUCGCAGGUUCGAAUCCUGUCGCCC
RNAcentral lists this transfer RNA (62 nucleotides) under Prochlorococcus marinus str. MIT 9312. RNAcentral's name for it is "tRNA-Pro (TGG) (tRNA-Pro-TGG-2-1)". RNAcentral also lists the same sequence under 1 other name. The record is from RNAcentral. Lineage: Bacteria; Bacillati; Cyanobacteriota; Cyanophyceae; Synechococcales; Prochlorococcaceae.